RNAcentral lists this ribosomal RNA (499 nucleotides) under uncultured bacterium. RNAcentral describes it as "partial 16S ribosomal RNA". It matches the Rfam family "Bacterial small subunit ribosomal RNA", at positions 30 to 523 of the family's 1533-position model. The record is from RNAcentral.
AUUGAACGCUGGCGGAAUGCUUUACACAUGCAAGUCGAACGGCAGCACGGACUUCGGUCUGGUGGCGAGUGGCGAACGGGUGAGUAAUGUAUCGGAACGUGCCCAGUCGUGGGGGAUAACGUAGUGAAAAUUACGCUAAUACCGCAUACGAUCUAUGGAUGAAAGCGGGGAUCGCAAGACCUCGCGCGAUUGGAGCGGCCGAUAUCAGAUUAGGUAGUUGGUGGGGUAAAGGCCCACCAAGCCAACGAUCUGUAGCUGGUCUGAGAGGACGACCGGCCACACUGGAACUGAGACACGGUCCAGACUCCUACGGGAGGCAGCAGUGGGGAAUUUUGGACAAUGGGCGAAAGCCUGAUCCAGCCAUUCCGCGUGCAGGAUGAAGGCUCUCGGGUUGUAAACUGCUUUUGUACAGAACGAAAAGGUUUCUACUAAUACUAGGAGCUCAUGACGGUACUGUAAGAAUAAGCACCGGCUAACUACGUGCCAGCCGCCGCUGUAA